CGGUCCAGACUCCUACGGGAGGCAGCAGUAGGGAAUCUUCCGCAAUGGACGAAAGUCUGACGGAGCAACGCCGCGUGAGUGAUGAAGGUUUUCGGAUCGUAAAGCUCUGUUGUUAGGGAAGAACAAGUGCAAGAGUAACUGCUUGCACCUUGACGGUACCUAACCAGAAAGCCACGGCUAACUACGUGCCAGCAGCCGCGGUAA
RNAcentral lists this ribosomal RNA (204 nucleotides) under Bacillus pumilus. RNAcentral's name for it is "partial 16S ribosomal RNA". It matches the Rfam family "Bacterial small subunit ribosomal RNA", at positions 327 to 523 of the family's 1533-position model. The record is from RNAcentral. Lineage: Bacteria; Bacillati; Bacillota; Bacilli; Caryophanales; Bacillaceae.